RNAcentral lists this ribosomal RNA (513 nucleotides) under uncultured bacterium. RNAcentral's name for it is "partial 16S ribosomal RNA". It matches the Rfam family "Bacterial small subunit ribosomal RNA", at positions 356 to 880 of the family's 1533-position model. The record is from RNAcentral.
GGGGAAUAUUGCACAAUGGGCGAAAGCCUGAUGCAGCGACGCCGCGUGCGGGAUGAAGGCCUUCGGGUUGUAAACCGCUUUUAAUUGGGAGCAAGCGAGAGUGAGUGUACCUUUUGAAUAAGCACCGGCUAACUACGUGCCAGCAGCCGCGGUAAUACGUAGGGUGCAAGCGUUAUCCGGAAUUAUUGGGCGUAAAGAGCUCGUAGGCGGUUUGUCACGCCUGGUGUGAAAGUCCAUCGCUUAACGGUGGAUCUGCGCCGGGUACGGGCAGGCUAGAGUGCAGUAGGGGAGAUUGGAAUUCCCGGUGUAACGGUGGAAUGUGUAGAUAUCGGGAAGAACACCAAUGGCGAAGGCAGAUCUCUGGGCUGUUACUGACGCUGAGGAGCGAAAGCAUGGGGAGCGAACAGGAUUAGAUACCCUGGUAGUCCAUGCCGUAAACGGUGGAUGCUGGAUGUGGGACCCUUCCACGGGUUCCGUGUCGGAGCUAACGCGUUAAGCAUCCCGCCUGGGGAG